This 433-nucleotide ribosomal RNA is filed under the name uncultured bacterium. RNAcentral describes it as "partial 16S ribosomal RNA". It matches the Rfam family "Bacterial small subunit ribosomal RNA", at positions 29 to 507 of the family's 1533-position model. The record is from RNAcentral.
AACGAACGCUGGCGGCAUGCCUAACACAUGCAAGUCGAACGAGACCUUCGGGUCUUGUGGCGCACGGGUGCGUAACGCGUGGGAACCUGCCCUUAGGUUCGGAAUAACUCCCCGAAAGGGGUGCUAAUACCGGAUAAUGUCUUCGGACCAAAGAUUUAUCGCCUUUGGAUGGGCCCGCGUUGGAUUAGCUAGUUGGUAGGGUAAAAGCCUACCAAGGCGACGAUCCAUAGCUGGUCUGAGAGGAUGAUCAGCCACACUGGGACUGGGACACGGCCCAGAAUCCUACGGGAGGCAGCAGUGGGGAAUAUUGCAAAGUGGGCGGAAGCCUGAUCCAGCAAUGCCGCGUGAGUGAUGAAGGCCUUAGGGUUGUAAAGCUCUUUUACCCGGGAUGAUAAUGACAGUACCGGGAGAAUAAGCCCCGGCUAACUCCGUG